AGAGUUUGAUCCUGGCUCAGGAUGAACGCUAGCGGCAGUAAUACAUGCAAGUCGAGGGGCAACAGGGGUAGCAAUACCUGCUGGCGACCGGCAAACGGGUGCGGAACACGUACAGAACCUUCCUUUAAGCGGGGAAUAGCCCGGAGAAAUCCGGAUUAAUACCCCAUAGUAAUGUUGGGUGGCAUCAUUUGGCAUUUAAAGAUUUAUCACUUAAAGAUGGCUGUGCGUAUGAUUAGGUAGUUGGUUGAGGUAACGGCUCACCAAGCCAACGAUCAUUAACUGGUGUGAGAGCACGACCAGUCACACGGGCACUGAGACACGGGCCCGACUCCUACGGGAGGCAGCAGUAAGGAAUAUUGGUCAAUGGACGCAAGUCUGAACCAGCCAUGCCGCGUGAAGGAUGAAGGUCCUCUGGAUUGUAAACUUCUUUUAUGUGGGAAGAAAUGCAUUCUUUAUAGAGUGUUUGACGGUACCAUAGGAAUAAGCACCGGCUAACUCCGUGCCAGCAGCCGCGGUAAUACGGAGGGUGCAAGCGUUAUCCGGAUUCACUGGGUUUAAAGGGUGCGUAGGUGGGCUUGUAAGUCAGUGGUGAAAUCUCCGUGCUUAACAUGGAAACUGCCAUUGAUACUAUAGGUCUUGAAUUUUCCGGAGGUUAGCGGAAUAUGUCUGUAGCGGUGAAAUGCUUAGAUAUGACAUAGAACACCAAUUGCGAAGGCAGCUAACUACAGGGAUAUUGACACUGAGGCACGAAAGCGUGGGGAUCAAACAGGAUUAGAUACCCUAGUAGUCC
Molecule: ribosomal RNA, 790 nt
Filed under: uncultured bacterium
Lineage: Bacteria
Description: bacterial SSU rRNA
Rfam family: Bacterial small subunit ribosomal RNA
Source: RNAcentral